UACAGCCAUAUCACGUUUAAACAUCGAUUCCUGUACGAUCACGGAAAUUAAGCAAUGUUGAGCCUGGUCAGUUCCUGGAUGGGUGACCGCUCGGGAAUACC
Molecule: non-coding RNA, 101 nt
Organism: Acanthosepion pharaonis
Lineage: Eukaryota; Metazoa; Mollusca; Cephalopoda; Sepiida; Sepiidae
Source: the annotation of a GenBank genome assembly